This 253-nucleotide ribosomal RNA is filed under the name uncultured bacterium. Its description in RNAcentral is "partial 16S ribosomal RNA". It matches the Rfam family "Bacterial small subunit ribosomal RNA", at positions 524 to 776 of the family's 1533-position model. The record is from RNAcentral.
UACGUAGGGUGCGAGCGUUAAUCGGAAUUACUGGGCGUAAAGCGUGCGCAGGCGGUUCGUUGUGUCGGCGGUGAAAGCCCCGGGCUUAACCUGGGAAUGGCCGUUGAAACUGGCGAACUGGAGUGUGGCAGAGGGGGGUGGAAUUCCGCGUGUAGCAGUGAAAUGCGUAGAGAUGCGGAGGAACACCGAUGGCGAAGGCGGCUCACUGGCCCGGUACUGACGCUGAGGUGCGAAAGCGUGGGGAGCAAACAGG